Molecule: ribosomal RNA, 433 nt
Filed under: uncultured bacterium
Lineage: Bacteria
Description: partial 16S ribosomal RNA
Rfam family: Bacterial small subunit ribosomal RNA
Source: RNAcentral
AACGAACGCUGGCGGCAUGCCUAACACAUGCAAGUCGAACGAGACCUUCGGGUUUAGUGGCGCACGGGUGCGUAACGCGUGGGAACCUGCCCUUAGGUUCGGAAUAACUCCCCGAAAGGGGUGCUAAUACCGGAUAAUGUCUUCGGACCAAAGAUUUAUCGCCUUUGGAUGGGCCCGCGUUGGAUUAGCUAGUUGGUAGGGUAAAAGCCUACCAAGGCGACGAUCCAUAGCUGGUCUGAGAGGAUGAUCAGCCACACUGGGACUGAGACACGGCCCAGACUCCUACGGGAGGCAGCAGUGGGGAAUAUUGGACAAUGGGCGAAAGCCUGAUCCAGCAAUGCCGCGUGAGUGAUGAAGGCCUUAGGGUUGUAAAGCUCUUUUACCCGGGAUGAUAAUGACGGUACCGGGAGAAUAAGCACCGGCUAACUCCGUG